CUGCCCGCCUUAUGCUCACAUGGAGCCCUCAUCACUCACCCAGGAGGGCUGUCUGGGGGUGGGUCCGAGUGUGUCUCCCUCUGGAGAUGGACCUCGAGGGAGGCCGCUCCCUG
This is a non-coding RNA of Ceratotherium simum simum (southern white rhinoceros), 113 nucleotides long. The record is from RefSeq and is a predicted model, not a curated record. Lineage: Eukaryota; Metazoa; Chordata; Mammalia; Perissodactyla; Rhinocerotidae.